RNAcentral lists this ribosomal RNA (30 nucleotides) under Dirofilaria immitis (dog heartworm nematode). Its description in RNAcentral is "partial 28S ribosomal RNA". The record is from RNAcentral. Lineage: Eukaryota; Metazoa; Nematoda; Chromadorea; Rhabditida; Onchocercidae. RNAcentral also lists the same sequence under 1 other name.
UUGACCUCAACUCAGUCGUGAUUACCCGCU